This 295-nucleotide unclassified non-coding RNA is filed under the name uncultured fungus. RNAcentral's name for it is "sequence contains ITS1". The stretch from base 1 to 105 matches the Rfam family "5.8S ribosomal RNA", at positions 50 to 154 of the family's 154-position model. Lineage: Eukaryota; Fungi. The record is from RNAcentral.
GAAAUGCGAUAAGUAAUGUGAAUUGCAGAAUUCAGUGAAUCAUCGAAUCUUUGAACGCACAUUGCGCCCUGUGGUAUUCCGCAGGGCAUGCCUGUUCGAGCGUCAGUACAACACUCAAGCCUGGCUUGGUCUUGGGCGUCACCAGCAAUGGUGCGCCUUAAAAUUAGUGGCGGCGCCUGCGAGGCUCUAAGCGUAGUAAUACUCCUCGCUUCAGGGACCCCCGCGGGAGCUGGCCAGCAACCCCCAACUUCUCAAGUUUGACCUCGGAUCAGGUAGGGAUACCCGCUGAACUUAA